AUGCAUGGCUCCCACCCCGCCACGCUCGCCCUCAACGCGCGCCCGGUGGCCGAGUUCGGAUACCUCAAGGACCUCCCCGAGAUCCUCCACCGCAUCAUCCAUGGCGGUGUCGCCACCACCGCCAGGACCCCAAAGAAGCAGUGGAGCGAAGACUCGGAGGUCUCCAUGUACGGGGGUACGAGCGAGGCGCGCAUUGCUGCCAGCCUGAAGCGCGACCAGGAGGAGGCCGCCCAGGCCGCCGUCCAGCGCAGGAAGAAGCGCGCGGAUGCAGCGGCGAGAGCCGUCGAGAGGUACGCCCGGGACCCGAACUACCGCCUCCUGCACGACAUGACGGCCGACGUGUUCGCCGACCUCCUCGCCGAGGACAUGAAGAAGCUCUCAGAUGGCAACGUCGACCUCUCGCUCGCCGGAAAAUGGUGCCCGUCGAUCGACAGCUGCUACGACCGCUCCACGCUCAUCUGCGAGGCCAUCGCGCGCCGCCUCUUCCACAAGGGCUCGGCGCCCGAUCUUCCCGAGGACUUGCCGGACGCGUACUAUGCCUACCGCGCGCGCGAGCGCCUCCGCAAGGAGGCCUACGUGCCGCUGCGCCAUGCCCUCAAGCUCCCCGAGAUCUUCAUCUCGGCGCGCGCGUGGGGCGAGGUGGUGUACACGCGCGUGGCCUCCGUCGCGAUGAAGAACUACAAGGACCUCUUCCUCGAGCACGACGAAGAGCGUUUCAACAGCUACCUCGCCGACGUCAAGUCCGGCAAGGCGAAGAUCGCGGCGGGCGCUCUGCUGCCGCACGAAAUCCUGAAGUCCGCCUACGACGACGAUGGAGUCGCGGACCUGCAGUGGAAGCGCAUGGUGGAGGACCUGCUGGCGCUGGGCAAGCUCAACAACUGCCUCGCCGUAUGCGACGUGUCGGGCAGCAUGGGCGGCCUCCCCAUGGACGUAUGCGUGGCGCUCGGCCUCCUCCUCUCCGAGCUCUGCGACGAGCCAUGGCGCCACCGCGUCAUCACCUUCAGCGAGAAGCCGCAGCUGCACCACAUCUCCGGCGACAACCUCGCGGAGAAGACACAAUUCAUACGCGAGAUGCAAUGGGACCUGAACACCGACUUCCAGGCGGUGUUCGACCAGCUCCUGCGCGUGGCCGUCGCCGGCAAGGUCCCUCCGGAGCGCAUGGUGAAGAAGGUGUUCGUGUUCAGCGACAUGGAGUUCGACCAGGCGUCGUCGAGGCCGUGGGAGACCGACUACGAGGCGAUCACGAGGAAGUAUUCCGAGGCCGGGUACGGCGACGCCGUGCCGCAGAUCGUCUUCUGGAACCUGCGGGACUCAGACUCGGUGCCGGUGACGGCGCAUCAGAAGGAGGUGGCGCUGGUGAGCGGCUUCUCCAAGAACAUGGUGAAGCUGUUCCUCGAGGGCGAAUACAUCCUGUCGCCGAGGGCAGUCAUGGAGAAGGCCAUCGCUGGGCCGGAGUACCAGAAGCUCGUUGUGUUCGACUGA
This 1482-nucleotide ribosomal RNA is filed under the name Triticum aestivum (bread wheat). RNAcentral describes it as "partial small subunit ribosomal RNA". Lineage: Eukaryota; Viridiplantae; Streptophyta; Magnoliopsida; Poales; Poaceae. The record is from RNAcentral.